ACGUAGGAGGCGAGCGUUAUCCGGAUUCACUGGGCGUAAAGGGCGCGUAGGCGGCCGGAUAAGUCGGAGGUGAAAUCCCGUGGCUCAACUGCGGGGCUGCCUUCGAGACUGUUUGGCUUGAGCGCGGUAGAGGCUGGUGGAAUUCCCGGUGUAGUGGUGAAAUGCGUAGAUAUCGGGAGGAACACCAGUGGCGAAAGCGAUUUUCUGGAUCGUUUCUGACGCUCAGACGCGAAAGCUAGGGUAGCAAACGG
RNAcentral lists this ribosomal RNA (251 nucleotides) under uncultured prokaryote. Its description in RNAcentral is "partial 16S ribosomal RNA". It matches the Rfam family "Bacterial small subunit ribosomal RNA", at positions 525 to 775 of the family's 1533-position model. The record is from RNAcentral.